UGGGGAAUUUUGGACAAUGGGCGAAAGUCUGAUCCAGCAAUGCCGCGUGUGUGAAGAAGGCCUUCGGGUUGUAAAGCACUUUUUUCGGGGAAGAAAAGGUAUUGGGCAAUACCCGGUUGUUUGGGCCGGACCUUAAAAAAAAGGCCCGGUUAAUCCCCGCCCCCCCGCCCCUAAAUUU
This 178-nucleotide ribosomal RNA is filed under the name uncultured bacterium. RNAcentral describes it as "partial 16S ribosomal RNA". It matches the Rfam family "Bacterial small subunit ribosomal RNA", at positions 355 to 525 of the family's 1533-position model. The record is from RNAcentral.